Hemicordylus capensis (graceful crag lizard) is the source of this 69-nucleotide non-coding RNA. Lineage: Eukaryota; Metazoa; Chordata; Lepidosauria; Squamata; Cordylidae. The record is from the annotation of a RefSeq genome assembly.
GCCGUAGCUCAGUGGUAGAGCAUUUGCUUGGCAUGCAGGAAGUCCCAGGUUCAAUCCCUGGCUUCUCCA